CCGACUCCGCGCCACCGUCCCCGGCCACCGCCCCCGUGCAGGCCCCUGCGGUCCAAGUCUGCGAGCCUGCGCCCGAGGCCCCCUCCAAGAUGGAGCCCAAGCCUAUUGUCCCCAAAGCCGAGUCCAAGGCCAAGGCCCGCAAGACCGAGGCCAGAGGGCUGACCAAGGCUGGGGCCAAGAAGAAGGCUCGGAAGGAGGCGGCGCUGCUGGCAGAGGCGGAGGUGGAGGUAGAAGAGGUCCCCAAUACUGUCCUCAUCUGCAUGGUGAUCCUGCUCAACAUCGGCCUGGCCAUCCUCUUUGUCCAUCUCCUGACCUGACCUUCGUCUACCAGAGCCAGGAGUUCCGAGGACACCAUGAUCCAUCUUUUUGCAAUGCCCGGCAGGUGGCCAAAGAGGACAAGACUCUGCUCCUGGAGCCCCGCGCCCAGCUCACAUCCACACCACAGACGCUUAAGGAGGCCUCCCGGGGCCGUGCUGUGGGUUGGGUGCCAGAGGAGUAAAACAUCUGGGACCCCUCCAGGGGCGCUCUGCUCGGGGGCAAGGGAAGCCCUGAGGGGAGACCCCUGGUCUCUUGAGCUUCCUGAUCUGCUCCUGUCCCCUGUCCUCACCCACUCCUUCUCCUUGCCCCUUGUCACCCAAUCCCUGAGCUUUUGUGUGUUUUGGAAGAAGUCACUUAAGCAGGAUGUUGAUGUUCAAUGAUGUUCUCCCUCUUGCUCCUACCCCUCUCCCAUUUUAACUUAGUCCCCUGGCUGGUGGCCCAAGGUUGCCUGGGAAGCUGAGGGAGUACUGAAAUCCCUUGGACCGUGUUGUUGUACCCAGCACCCAGCUGGCCCUGACUUACAGAGGUUCUGGAUGAUGGUGGAGGAAAUGGACAAGUUCAGCUGACUAUCCCAGUAUGCAGUGCUCCGCCUUCCCCCACCAAUCCACUCAGCCUCCCUCCUGGCCCAGUAGAACAGGGGGAGACUGGGGAAUGGGAGCCUUUGCCUAGGAGGCCACUGACCCCAGGGGGCAGGGCGGGAGGAAGGGUAAGGUGCAGUUGUGGUGGCCCCUGUUUGUGGGUGUGUCUGAGGCUGGAAUUGCAUUUAGAGCUGCUGAUUUCCUUGGGGUCACUGUACAGAAGUUCUCGGGCCCAUGAGCUACAGCUCGUAUGAUGCCCUAUGUUGGCUUGUCCCCUUCCCCCACCAGGGCCACUAUGGGCUCAGGGAGGCAUGACAUGGAAGGGAGGCAGAUUUCCCUGGGCAGACUCUCAGGCGGGUGCUGAGAGAUCAGCCUGGUGCAGUCUGCACAAGAAAGCCCCUUCCAUGUGCUUGGCAAAUGACACAUGCACCUCACUUAAAGAUGUCCUCACCACACUGUGUCUGGGCCCUCAGGCUUGCUGGGGGGUGGCCUGGGGGCUAAGGGCUGUGGUUCCCUGUCUCCAGGAAGAAGGGAAAGAGCUCCCAGGCCCACCCAAGCCCUUCCUGGGGAAGGAUGUGGCCACAGCAUCCGAGCUGAGCUGGAGGUGCUGCUGCUAUUCUGUUUCUCUGGACUUUGGAGCCUCCAUGUGGUGCCAGGCUCCCCCCCCCCCAGGGCAGGUCAGGACUUCGUCAUUUGGAACAACUUUCCCUUCCCCCUUCUCCAUCCUUGGGAACCUUCCCCUCUAGCUUUGCACUUGCCCGUUUCCAGCUGUCACAGCCUCUAGCGUGGCUGGAAUCCUGAACUGUGCUUCUGCAGAGAGGAGCCUGCAGACGCCCCCAUCCCAGCCAGCUGUGGGCACCACUCUGCAUCUGUGUCUGGGCUUUUCUGGACUCCUAGAGAAUGAGGGGGUGGGGUAAGGCUCCUCAGGGCUGACAGGCUCCGGGCCUCAACUCUAAGAUCAUUGCUCUGGGUUUUUGGGUCUGGUCCUGUGCUGGGGACGAGCCUGUGGCUGCCAGAGCUGUGGGGCCUGGUUGGAACCGGUGUGGGGGUGGGGGCUCAGGUGCUACAGGCUGUGCAAUAAUAAACUUGUGUCUGCUCACAGGCUCCGUGGCCCAGCUGCAGUGUCUGCAUGUGGGCCAGGAUGAGGGCCUGGCGAAGGAGAGGCGGGGGAAGCUGGUCCUGCUGGUCUAGGUCCUCACGUGCUCAGAAAGUUCCCGUAAUGCUUUUUGAGGGGCAAUGAGGGGCUUCAGUACUGGAGGAGCAGCUCAGGGGCUAUAGACCUUGCACAGUGGAGUCUGUUUCUAAAGCAGACAUCCAGGAGCAAGAGCCUGCCCUUAGAGGAGGAAGACCCUUGGAUCCCAGUCCUGGCUCACUUUCUCCACUUCUCAGAGUCUCAGUUUUCUCAUCUAUAGAAUGGGGGUUACAACACCACCCACCUCCCUGGGUUACAGUGAGGGUUACAUUCAACGUUGACACUUACGUAUAACCCAGCUGUUGAGAGCAGCCGGGAGACAGACAGGCAUCCUUAUUGUCAUCAGGUCACAACACAGUCACCAUACCUGUCACACACCCUCUUGCAUUUUGAUGGAGGAUCCCCAAACCGUAAAGAGAUGGAAUCGCCUUAGGCCCCAACUGCACAGUCCCAGCAUGUCUCAGUCACAGGGAACCUCCAUGCCACCUCCACAGAGGCUCAGAGGAGAAGGGACCUGCCCCAAGUCACACCAGCCUGUGGAGGGACAUGGUUCUCUAGCUUGCUUGGGAACAAGCCCUAUCAUUAAGCUUCUCUCAGUGGGUGGCCUCAGCAAGUGGGCCGCAGGGUAGGGUCCCUCACCCACCGGCAGGCUCAGGCUCAAUGUUCAGGUCCUCAGGAGCCCUGGUUCUCUCCCAAGCACCUCCUCUGGCUUGGCAUGUGUCCCCGGCCUCCCUCCCUCUCUGUGCCUUGGUUUCCCCUUAUGCCAAGGAGACUGUCCAUGGCCUUCUUCCCAGGAAGUGCAGCCGUGAGGAUCAAAUGAAGUAGAUUUGGGGUGGUGAAGACUGCUUAGAGCCUAGGGAGCGUGGGAGGGCUGACUUAGAAUGACCUGGGACGGCUGGCAAAGAAGGUGGCUUCCUGAGCUGGGAUUGGAGACCCCAUCAGGUAAGGUUGGAUGGAGUCGGGCUCCUCCAGCGGCUCAGGACCCAGCCUGGCUGGUACCUCCCCUUCCAGCCUCGGUCCCUGGUGCCCUAGGAGAUUUAACCAGUCCCCUGCCAUGUUACAUUUGAGGUGUUCUGUACCAUGCUGGAACCACAGGGAAACCGUGGGCAUUGCUGGGACCUGCGAUCACUGACCACUACCAUGGGGGAGGAUUUGCCAGACUCUUCCAGGGCAGAGAAGGGGAAGGGGCUGGGAACUAUGGGAGCCAGAUGCAGGGUUUGCAGCAAGAAGGGGAAGUUCCAUGAUCUUUGAUGGACCCACAGAGGAUCUGGCUGUGCUGGUGGUGCAGGCCUAGAGAGGACCUUUGGAGGCCACAGCCUGACAAAGCCACACGGAAACCUGCCUCUCCCUUAUGGAACUCAAUAAAAAAACCCUAAAAUCUAAAAUGCAAAAUGGAAGUUUCCCGAAAUUAAAAGAGCUCAGAACUGUU
This is a non-coding RNA of Ictidomys tridecemlineatus (thirteen-lined ground squirrel), 3517 nucleotides long. Lineage: Eukaryota; Metazoa; Chordata; Mammalia; Rodentia; Sciuridae. The record is from RefSeq and is a predicted model, not a curated record.